This 356-nucleotide ribosomal RNA is filed under the name uncultured bacterium. Its description in RNAcentral is "bacterial SSU rRNA". It matches the Rfam family "Bacterial small subunit ribosomal RNA", at positions 527 to 881 of the family's 1533-position model. The record is from RNAcentral.
GUAUGGUGCAAGCGUUAUCCGGAUUUACUGGGUGUAAAGGGAGCGUAGACGGCUGUGUAAGUCUGAAGUGAAAGCCCGGGGCUCAACCCCGGGACUGCUUUGGAAACUAUGCAGCUAGAGUGUCGGAGAGGUAAGUGGAAUUCCCAGUGUAGCGGUGAAAUGCGUAGAUAUUGGGAGGAACACCAGUGGCGAAGGCGGCUUACUGGACGAUGACUGACGUUGAGGCUCGAAAGCGUGGGGAGCAAACAGGAUUAGAUACCCUGGUAGUCCACGCCGUAAACGGUGGGCGCUAGGUGUGGGUUCCUUCCACGGAAUCCGUGCCGUAGCUAACGCAUUAAGCGCCCCGCCUGGGGAGU